RNAcentral lists this ribosomal RNA (303 nucleotides) under uncultured bacterium. RNAcentral describes it as "partial 16S ribosomal RNA". It matches the Rfam family "Bacterial small subunit ribosomal RNA", at positions 507 to 807 of the family's 1533-position model. The record is from RNAcentral.
AGCAGCCGCCACGGUAAUACGUAGGGUGCGAGCGUUAAUCGGAAUUACUGGGCGUAAAGCGUGCGCAGGCGGUUGUGUAAGACAGGUGUGAAAUCCCCGGGCUUAACCUGGGAACUGCGCUUGUGACUGCACAGCUAGAGUAUGGCAGAGGGGGGUGGAAUCCCACGUGUAGCAGUGAAAUGCGUAGAGAUGUGGAGGAACACCGAUGGCGAAGGCAGCCCCCUGGGCCAAUACUGACGCUCAUGCACGAAAGCGUGGGGAGCAAACAGGAUUAGAUACCCCUGUAGUCCCUGUCUCUUAUAC